UGAGGCUCCUCGUGAUCAUAUCCUUAUAAUCUGUCCCAAAGCUUUGAAGUUGUAGCAUGCUCUCCAUUAUCCAUCACAGUGCUUCCACUUCCGAAUGUAAGGCAAUCUCUCGCCUUCUUAAGUUUCGCGUCCCCAUAAGUUGUAUAUUUCCCAGGCUAUCAUUCCAGACUCAACCGCAACCACUGAACUAAUCUGUGGAAAUCCAUAAACCAUCC
This 215-nucleotide long non-coding RNA is filed under the name Brassica napus (rape). RNAcentral describes it as "long non-coding RNA (BNAP_LNC021896)". Lineage: Eukaryota; Viridiplantae; Streptophyta; Magnoliopsida; Brassicales; Brassicaceae. The record is from RNAcentral.